RNAcentral lists this ribosomal RNA (468 nucleotides) under uncultured bacterium. Its description in RNAcentral is "partial 16S ribosomal RNA". It matches the Rfam family "Bacterial small subunit ribosomal RNA", at positions 28 to 507 of the family's 1533-position model. The record is from RNAcentral.
GACGAACGCUGGCGGCGUGCUUAACACAUGCAAGUCGAACGGAAAGGCCCUGCUUUUGUGGGGUUCUCGAGUGGCGAACGGGUGAGAAACACGUGAGUAUCCUGCCCUUGACUUUGUGAUAACUUCAGGAAACUGCGGCUAAUACCGGAUAGGAGCUCCUGCAGCAUGGUGGGGGUUGGAAAGUUUCGGCGGUUGUGGAUGGACUGGCGGCUUAUCAGCUUGUUGGUGGGGUAGUUGCUUACCAAGGCUUCGACGGGUAGCCGGCCUGAGAGGGUGACCGGCGACAAGGGGACUGAGGGACGGACCAGACGGCAACGGGAGGCAGCAGUGGGGAAUCUUGCACAGUGGGCGGGAGCCUGAGACAGCAGCCCCGGGUGCGGGAUGACGGCUUACGGGUGGUAAACCGCUUUCGCCUGAGACGAAGCGGUAGUGACGGUAAUGGGUAAAGAAGCACCGGCUAACUACGUG